CUCCCCGUUCACAAGAUGGCGGCGGCGGCGGCGGGCGGCGCGGGGACGGCGGCGGCGCUGUGGACCGAGGUGAAUCGGAGCGGCCAGAACGGAGACUUCGGCCGCGCGCUCAAGUCUCUCAACAAGCUGUUGCAGAUCAACAAGGAUGAUGUGACUGCCCUUCACUGCAAAGUGGUCUGUCUCAUUCAGAAUGGAAGCUUCAAGGAAGCCCUAAGUGUAAUCCACACACACACCAAAGUGUUAACCAGUGACUCUAUCACCUUUGAGAAGGCGUACUGUGAAUACAGGUUGAACAGAAUUGAAAAUGCCCUGAAGACCAUUCAGAGUGCCAGCCAGCAGACAGACAAACUGAAGGAGCUUCAUGGACAAGUGUUGUAUAGGUUGGAGCGCUAUGACGAAUGCUUAGCCGUGUAUCGGGAUCUCAUCCGGAACUCCCAAGAUGACUAUGAAGAAGAAAGGAAAACCAACCUUUCUGCAGUGGUUGCAGCACAGAGCACAUGGGAGAAAGUGGAGCCAGAAGAUCUGGGCCUCCAAGAAGCUACCUAUGAGCUGUGUUACAAUGCUGCAUGUGCAUUGAUUGGGCAAGGCAGGCUGAAUGAGGCAAUGGAAAACCUACAGAAAGCAGAAGAUCUGUGUCGCCAGUCGCUUUCAGAAGACUCUGAUGUAACUGAGGAAGACAUCGAGGCUGAGUUGGCCAUUAUUCACGGUCAGAUGGCCUAUAUCAUGCAAUUACAGGGGCGUACAGAGGAUGCUCUUCAGCUUUACAAUCAAAUCAUCAAAUUAAAGCCGACAGAUGUGGGAUUGAUUGCUGUAAUUGCAAAUAACAUCAUCACUAUUAACAAGGACCAAAAUGUCUUUGACUCAAAGAAAAAAGUGAAAUUGACCAAUGCAGACGGCGUAGAGCACAAACUCUCCAAGAAACAGCUCCAGGCCAUCGAAUUCAACAAAGCUUUACUGGCUAUGUACACCAAUCAGGCAGAUCAGUGCCGCAAGCUGUCAGCAAGUUUACAGUCUCAGAACCCUGAGCACCUGCUACCUGUGCUAAUCCAGGCUGCCCAGCUCUGUCGAGAGAAGCAGCAUGCGAAGGCAAUAGAGCUCCUACAGGACUUUGCAGAGCAGAGCCCUGCCAACUCGGCACAGAUAAAGCUGACGAUGGCACAGCUGAAAAUCGCUCAAGGCAGCGUCACCAAAGCAUGCAUCAUUCUGAGGAGUAUAGAAGAGCUGAAGCAUAAGCCAGGCAUGGUAUCUGCAUUAGUGACGAUGUACGGUCAUGAAGAAGACAUUGACAGUGCUAUUGAGGUCUUCACGCAAGCUAUCCAGUGGUACCAGGAAUACCAGCCAAAGUCUCCCGUUCAUUUGUCACUGAUAAGGGAAGCAGCCAACUUUAAGCUGAAGUACGGGAGGAAGAAGGAAGCGAUCAGCGACCUGGAAGAGCUGUGGAAGCAAAACCCAAAAGAUAUUCAUACUCUGGCCCAGCUCAUCUCCGCGUACUCUCUCGUAGAUCCUGAGAAGGCGAAGGUCCUUAGCAAACACUUGCCCUCGUCGGACACGAUGUCUUUGAAAGUAGACGUAGAUGCGCUUGAAAAUUCCCCCGGGGCUACGUAUGUUCGGAAGAAAGGCGGAAAGCUCACGGGAGAGAACCAGCAGAAAGAGCAAGGGCAAGGGGAUGUAAAGAAAAAGAAGAGGAAAAAGAAAGGAAAAUUGCCUAAGAACUACGAUCCCAAGGUGACCCCAGACCCUGAGCGGUGGCUGCCAAUGCGAGAGCGCUCCUACUAUCGUGGCAGGAAGAAGGGCAAAAAGAAGGAUCAGAUUGGAAAGGGAACCCAGGGAGCAACGACAGCUGGCACAUCUGAGCUGGAUGCCAGUAAGACAGCAAGCAGCCCGCCUACCUCCCCACGGCCUGGCAGCUCCACAGCCACGUCCUCCGCAGCCACGAGUAACAUGAUCCCCCCCCGGCACCAGAAACCUGCUGGCGCUGCAGCAACCAAGAAGAAGCAGCAGCAGAAGAAGAAGAAAGGAGGCAAAGGAGGCUGGUGACAAGAGGGGUUGCCAAGCUGGCCAUGUGAGGGACUAGACCUCUCUGCUGUAAAGUGCUGAGAACAGAAUAAAGAAAGAACUCGAAUGCAGUGUUAGAAAUCACUAUGUCUGUCACGUGUAUGGCCUCUAACUAGAACUAUGAAGACUAAAUCAUAACACGCUAAGCAACUUUCACUCUGGGCACAACAACUGUGAAUUCAACUUUUGAGUGUAUUUAUUUAGAUGUUUGCAAUCUAGUUUGGAGAACUCUACGUUCUUAAUAAUCACGGCCAAAACGGUCAAAUGUGAAGACUGGGAGUUCAGACUCCACAAUAAAACUGGACUGAUUUUUGGUGAGCAAUCCCAGAUCCUGUCGACUCCAACUAUAGAGGCAUGACCAGUGUUUUCAUCUUCCUAAUACACUCUUGGACAGUAUGUACUGAUUUGGUUCGUGCUAAGAUCUGUAGUGGCUAUAUACAGAAUAUGGCUGCUGGCGGGGGCAGGAGGGCGAGCUGUUUUCUCUCCUCUUCCAAUCACAGUUGUUCUCCUUUAACUGUAAAGCCUUUCAGAAAAUGCUGGUGUUCAUACAGUGCAGGAGUGGGGCAAUCUGAACUUAGUGUAAAUUGUAGUAGUAGAGGGUAGGUGGACAAAGUUUGGCACAAACUACAGGCUUUGUGAAAUCAGUCUUUUAGAAAAAUCUAAGACUAAAUGCACUUCUGCCAAUGAAAACAAACAUUGCUCUACAGCAUCUGCUUCCCAGACUUUAUAGCAGUGGUUCUCAACCCGUGGGCCACUUGUGGCCCAGUCAGCACACAGCUGUGGCCCAUUUGACAUCCUCAGAGCCAUACAGGUAGUAUAAUGUGUGGCUGCGGCCUGUACAACACAGAGAAAGCUGCAGAUGUGGCCCACGAUGGUAAAUAGGUUGAGAACCACUGCUUUAUGCACUACCUGGCACGAGACCUUGAAACUGACUGAACACACUAGUCUCUUUCAUCAUCCCAGUGACUAUAAAUGUGAAAAGUAAACAGCAUAACCCAGGAAAAUUAAAUUUGAUUUUUAAAAAUCUUUGUUUUAAUCCUCUUCCACUAACUUUAGCUAAUAAACAAGAUCAUGGGUUGAAAAACUAUUUUUGUUCCUUUUAAAUUCCAGUGCAUAGUGCAUCUAAAAUACCCCCAGGCUCUGAACUUCAUCAGCCUUACUUUUUAAAAAAUCUAUUUAACAUUCAGGGCCAGAUUUUCCAAAGUGCUUAGCGCCCCACAGCUCCUAUUGUCCUCAAUGGCUGCAGAGUUCUCCAUUGUUCUCAGUGAGUGCUUACAGGGACUUUCAGAAGAUGGACUCCAAAACAGCCAUCUCGUUGGGCACAAUGAACUUAAACCACCCCCUGAAAAAAUGAAUUCUUCUGUGCUUGAACUAAUCCUGUUGGAGUCAGUGAGUGUUUAUCAUGUCAUAACGAUGACGACAUCUGUGCCAGUCCUCACCCUGGGAAAGACCUGGUUGGUGCGGGGGGAGUGGGGUGAGGGUGGGGGGCUGUGUGUGUGGAUGUGAGCUGCUUUUCAAAUACCAAUUUACCAGAGCUAAUCAGAAAACAGCUUUUCCAUCCUGUCGGAAAUUGCAAUAUUUUGAUACUGAGAUGAGAUGCUGAAACCUUCAAAUAUUUAUUGAAAUGAAAUGUUCUGACCUAGAUUAUCAAAACAGGAGGUUUUCAUCGGAACCAGGAAAUCCAAGAGUGGCCAUUUUGAUUUCAGGUUUCAGCGCAGCAGGGUCGAAGGGCGGAGGUAGGAGGACCAACACGUGCAAAUAAAAUAAUUCCCAAGAGGGCCUAGGAUGCAGGAAGGGGCAGAUACUCCCUCUCAUUUGGCCAGGAGGUGGUGCUGCAGGAUUUGGGAGCAUUUUUCAGGGAUGUAGGGUAGCAAGUAAGGGACUGCCUACCAGGACUGUGGAGAAGGAAACUCCCCUGUGGGUGUGUGUGUGGGGGGAAUCUGAGUGACCUAUGGUGCCACCUCUGCAGGAGGGCACCAAGGGACCCAUUCCAGAGCUGGCAGCAACCUACUGUCCACUGUAGCAUUGGGCUGGCUCUCCGGUGCUGUACCUCCUGAUGCAGCCCCUACUUGCAGUGGGCCUGGAGCAUACCACUGGUGCCAUGUGGCUCCCUAUAGUCUGUCUGGGUCUCCUUGCUGCUCCCUGAAGCUGUGUAUUGCUGAUGUUGUCUGCACACUGCACCUAACAUCACUUGCAUGUAUUAUGCUGCAAACAUCUACAGUGCAGCAGCUAUGCUUCACUUAGUAUCUCCUGCUUCUGGGGUGCAUGGUGCUCAUUGUGGUCAUCACUAAGGCUAAGAUUAUGGCUUGGAGGUCAUGGAUUCUGUGACUUCCAGAGCCCU
This is a non-coding RNA of Chelonoidis abingdonii (Abingdon island giant tortoise), 4396 nucleotides long. The record is from RefSeq and is a predicted model, not a curated record. Lineage: Eukaryota; Metazoa; Chordata; Testudines; Testudinidae.